Molecule: long non-coding RNA, 4335 nt
Organism: Bactrocera dorsalis (oriental fruit fly)
Lineage: Eukaryota; Metazoa; Arthropoda; Insecta; Diptera; Tephritidae
Exons: 4
Source: RefSeq, a predicted model, not a curated record
CCUAUUCCAUUCGCUGUCACUACGUAAUAUAGAGCCGAUAUUAUUUAAUUCAAUCGCAAUACCUUCCCACAACUCCUUCCUAUUUUUUUUUUGUGGAGCCAAACGGGGCUAUUCUCUGGCUAAGUCAGGAUUUUUCUCCAUCAACCUCACCAUCACAAUUUAUUGCUUCUGGUUGGUUCUUUUUAUUCUGAAAAUAGGUAAAUUUUUAACAAAUUAAAUACAAUAAAUAAAUUUUUAAAGUUAUGUUAACGUUUUUUCCAUUUUUAAUUUCACUCGCGAAUCAAAUAAAGGGUCGCCAAAUUUUGACAGUUGAAGUGAAGGGAAUUUCAUAAAUAAUAUAUACAUAUACAUAUAUUCAUUUUCGCUACUUCAGAAGAAUUUGGAAUUAGUGACAGCGUUAGUCUAUCUUCGAAUCAGCAUCAACACCAACAACAAUAUCAGCCUUGAAAUCCAACCCAGAAUCACUCUUGCCAACAGAUGCUAGUGUGAACUGAGUAGGUAAUUGAAAAAUUAAGUCCUCUCGCGACGAACAAAGACGAAACUCUACAAGUUUCUCAUUAUUCCCGUCUUGCUAUAUUGUGCGGAGGCGUGGACAAUUACAUUAUCUGGCGAGUCGACCUUAAGAGUGUUCGAAAGAAAAGUUUUUCAGAAUAUGUAUGUGUCGGAGCGCUUAUGCUUGUAUUUUGUAUGUCACUGUUAAUGCGUAGUGCUAAUAUUUUGUAGGUAACUGUAUGUGCCACAGCGUCGUUUGAAGUAGGCGACGCAUUGGUGGCAUAUAUUACGGUACUAUAAAAUGUAAAUGCGCAAAUAAGCAUAAUAACAGGACUAGAGAAACUGUUACUGAGUGAGGUCUGAUCGUAUUCUGCGAACAGAGUGAAGAGACUCGGGAACCGUUAGCUGUUUUUAGAGCAAUAAAGGGGUUCGUAUAUAAUUAGGCGCUAUGUCCUGGCAGAAUCAGUUCAAGAAGUGAUCUUAAUUGGGUCAGAACUUGCUGUGCUCGUAUAGUGAAGUGAAGUUAUUAGUAAAGUGUAAAUGUGUGAAGUGUAAAAGUGUGAAGUCAAGUGUUAUAGAGACAUCUACAAGCAAAUCUUCAACAUAUGGUCCUUUGCGCAUUUAAAACGGCUACCUUAGCAUAACCUAAAAAGAAAAUAAUAAGCCGCCUGUCUUAAGGAAAGUCACAAAUGAUGGAAUAGGGAAACUAGAAGCUUAAAAAAGCGAGCUAGUCGUGAAUGAAUCGAUCUGUUUUUAUUAGAUAUAAAGAGGAAAUUAUAUAAAGAAAUUUAACACAAAUUCAACCAAAAAUCAAAACAUCCUAUGGAAAGCCUAAAAACACAUUAAGCCGGUAGAUUCCAACAUGCCUAUAAAAGACUAAUAGGGCUCGAAGUGAUGACGAAAAGUCACCUACUUUGGAAACCACCUAUAGUAGGUACUUCAAUCUAAUUAGCCAAAAAUUGGCGUUCAGUUGCCAACUUUGUCCGAUACUACUACCAAGUCGCUUUUGUCUACUAAGACUUCAACUUUUGAAAAUAAACAUAUUAUAAGAGAAGUGAAUAAAAUGUCUUGGAAUUGAUUCUAUCAACUUUUUUUUAUAUGGGUCCAACGAUUUUCAGUUGUAUUAAUGUCGGGACUUUUUGGCGGUGUUGGCAGAUGUUUUGCGUUGAAAGGAAUCUAUAUUUUAACGUCUUGGGCUGAAUGUUUCGGGUCAUUGUCGAAUUGAAAAAAAAAACUAAGCUUUUUAACAUGUCCAUUUUUUCAGCCCUGGAAUGUAAAUUUUUAGUGAUAAUAUAUAAUUAAAGAUGCUUAUCUAUUCUUCCGUCUAUAAAAACAAAAUUCCAGACUCCCUGAGCUGACAUGCAGCCUUACACCAUGACGGAACCACGACCGUGCUUAACAGAUGCUUUGACGUUUUUAAUAUUUAAUUCAUCACUUAGUUACCGAAAGACCAUUCGACGACCAUCCGAUCAAAAAAUGUUAUAUAUGCUUAGAAAGUUUCCGAUAAAACCAUACACUAGUUGGUAUCAAACCCGCGGACUCACCCGUUGAAUUGUAGACGAAAGUGAAGGAGAUGAUUUCGACAAGCUGACAAACGAUGCGUAUAUGCGCGCGGAUCGUAAUUGAAAGAGGCUGGCCCGUCCCUUUUGAUGAUUGUGUUUGGUGUCCUCGGGUGUGGUGUAAAAGGUGUGGUGUUGAUGAGGAUGCGUUGAGUUGGUGUGUGUGGGAUGAAAUGAUGACGUGUUGAGUUGGUGUGUGUGCGAUGAAAAGAUGAUGUGUUGAGUAUGGUGUGUAUGUGUGGGUAAGGUGGGUCAAAACGGUUGAAUAUCAAGAUGGAUCCGACUUUGUUUUUUUUUUUAUUUGAGCUAUAGUGAGAGUGAUGGGGAUGAAAAAAUAGUGCGGAGGCAACUAAGAGAUCGGAGCAAUUCUUUGGCACUGCCGAACACAGCGUAGGUAUAUAAAAAAUAAAUCAUGAAACCUCAAUAACGAAGUUUUCUUUGCAGGUUUUUAAAACGAUUUCGUCUAACUAAAGAGGCUUUUGAAUAUGUCCUAAGUAAUAUAUGUUUAACGCAAUCUGACGUCAGAGCAGUGUCUCCAGUGCUACAAUUAGCAACCACGCUCUCACAUUUCCCUAGCGGUGGAUACCAACACAGUGUAGGCAGUGACUAUUUAAUCGGGAUUUGUCAAAGCACUGUUUCGAAGCUGACAUCCCAUGAACUUAAAGAAGUGGAAACGAAGUUGUGCCCACUGUUUAUACGGUUUACACCAGAGGAUUCCCUUACGUGUAAAGAGUGGUUUGUGCAGCAAUAUAAAAUUCCAGGAGUUAUAAGGUGCGUUGAUGGCACCCACAUCGGUUUACAAAAACCCACAGUGAACGAGCACAUGUAUGUACUUCAAUAAAAAAGGCUACCAUAGUAUCAACGCUAUGAUAAUAUGUGAUCACAUUUACAAAAUGUUGGCUAUUAACUGUCAAUACGGUGGUGCAGCCUACGACUCAUUUGUUUGGAAACACUCGGACCAGCGAAGAGUUUUGGAAGAACGAUUUCAGCACAACAGGAAUGAAAAUUUAUGACUUUUAGGGGAUUCUGGCUACCCAUUGGCACCAUGGUGCAUAACUCCUUACAGAAACGCUUCGGAGGGUGCAAGUGAAGCUAUGUUCAAUGAAAUACAUUCCAAGGCAAGAUGUAUCGUCGAACGAACUAUUGGAAUUUUAAAAGGACGCUGGAGAAUUUUAUGAUAUGGCAACAGAGGAAGGUACCAUCCGACAAAAGUGGCAAGAUUUGCUAACGUUUGUGCAGCAUUACACAACAUCUGCAUAAAAUUUAAAAUAAAUUAUGAUCCCCAGCAUUGCGAUUCUGAUCAAGCAACGGAUAUCGACACUGGGGUAGCGAACCGCCGCACCGCAAUCGGCCAAACAAUAAGGGAUCAAAUAAUAUACUCUAUAAUAAAUUGAAGAUGAAAAUGUCUAUGUAUUUACCCUUGUAAAUUUUUUUUCCCUUCUAAACUGAAAUACAAAAAUUUUGUUCAUAUAAACUCAUUAUUUUAAUUUUAAUUAGUCGUUUCAUCACGUUUGUUGGUUUUAUCACAUUUCUUAAAUAGUAAAUAAAUAAAUUUCAAAAAAAAAAUAAAGCUCUAUUAAAUUAAAAAAAUCAUUAAAUGCUUAAAACUAAAAAUAUUUACAUCCAUAUACCAAUUUUUAUAACAAAUUUCUCCGUAAGGUUUCGAGCUCCAAUUUUUUUAUCUCGUGGUCUAAUUCCCGUGUUGAUUGUUGGAUGCGGUGCUUUUCCACCUUAAUAGCAACCAGCUUUUCCUGUAGUGCCAGCAUUUUUUCUUGUGCUGCUACUAACCUAUCAAGCUUCUGGUCUAUGCCUUUUUGAAAAGCCGAUAGCGACAUCAUGUUUUGUUGAAGUAACUCCAACUUCUCGUCACUCCUACUUUUUCUCCUCGGUCUGCGUGGAGUUUUUUCUGUUGCUAUUGUUGUGGCGAGUAGCGACUGUGUGGGAGUUGUUGGGCCUGGUAAGGAGCUGGGGAAAGAGCUUGUCUCCUCAUCACUGCUAUCACAGUUAACGAUAAACGUCGAAGCUUGCGUAGUUGGGUUAUUUCCAAAUGCAGAAACAUUUGUUAUGCCCUCUACGCAAGCUUCGAGUCCAGCUGCUUCGAUUAGCAGUUCGUCCGUCGAAGUGAUCAAUUUUUCAUUAUAGGGCCCUCCACCAGUUCGCUGCUUUGAUGCCUUAUUGAAGGAAAGUUUUUUUUUUGCUUGGUAUUUUUGAUCAGCAAAAACCUAAAAAAAUCAUAAAAAAUUUAUAUUUUAUCAAAAUAUAUUGCAUAUAAAUUAUAUACAUA